Molecule: long non-coding RNA, 775 nt
Filed under: Arabidopsis thaliana (thale cress)
Lineage: Eukaryota; Viridiplantae; Streptophyta; Magnoliopsida; Brassicales; Brassicaceae
Description: potential natural antisense gene, locus overlaps with AT5G05430 (AT5G05435)
Source: RNAcentral
UGAAUUAGUUAGCCCCAUAUGGUUCCUAUUAAGUAUCUUAGAGCAUCUCCAACGGGAGAAAAAUGGAGCUCUCAUGACAGUCUCUCUAAAUUAUUGUGGAAAAAAAUAAAUCAUAAAGGUUUAAUACUGAGAGAAUCGUUUCUCUUAAGAGAGAUUUUGGAGCUGAAGAGAGACGCAUACGUGUCGUUGUUUUUCAGUAUUUCUUUUUUUUUUCCGUUUUUUUUCUCUACUAUCAUCUUUUCACUGGGACUUUGAGGAUCAUUGGACUUACCUGAAACGAGCUGGCCGACGUUGAUUUCGGUAGGCUUAUCGGCUCUGAGAUUCAUGGAUUCCAUACUUUGCAAGAGAGAGCUUCAGGGGAUAAUCCAUUUGGGUGGGUAUUUUUCUGGCUGUACCACUUGCAGUUUCUCAAAAGUGAGUGAAGGAACUCAUUUUGGUUGAUUAUACUCUGAGUGAAGGAACUCAUUUUCGUUGGUUCUGCUCUUCUAAGUGAAGAGGGCUUACAAGCUUGGAAAGCAAGUUUCCAACAGAGUAAUAUCAUGUCUGACCGGAACCAUACAACGGAACAUUCCACAUAUCGUUUUACAUUUCUAUUGACCUUGACCUUUAUGUUUUAAUUUGUCAAGAAGUCUACUGCAUUUCUAUUCUCUCCUAUCUCAUUCCUCUUUAUUUACUUGCUUUCACAUGGUAAGGAAUUGUGAAUAUAUGGUCUCAGCCUCUCAUGUUAGACAUUUCUUCUAUGAUUCUCAUUUUUUCUAUUGUGAAUAAUUUUUUU